UAGGUUUGAGAGACAAGAUUACUCUCAGUAGUGGCCGUUUUCUUCUUGGUAACAAGUAAGCUUCAUUUAUCCUGUUUUCCUUUUUUAGCUUGACAUUUUUACCUCUUAAGGUCAGGAUUAUUUUACUUCUAUUGCAUUAUAACUGAAGUCAAAUCUCACUGAUGCAAUGCUUUGUCUGGACAUCUUUGUUACCUCUAGCAAUAAUGCUGGUUGUCAACUUGUUCUAUCCGUAGCUUGUUUGAG
RNAcentral lists this long non-coding RNA (243 nucleotides) under Nicotiana benthamiana. RNAcentral's name for it is "long non-coding RNA (NBEN_LNC001134)". Lineage: Eukaryota; Viridiplantae; Streptophyta; Magnoliopsida; Solanales; Solanaceae. The record is from RNAcentral.